AGUGCCCUACGGGGGGCAGCAGUGAGGAAUAUUGGUCAAUGGGCGUAAGCCUGAACCAGCCAAGUCGCGUGAGGGACGACGGCCCUACGGGUUGUAAACCUCUUUUGCCGGGGAGCAAGGGCGGGGACGUGUCCCGGCCCGGAGAGUACCCGGAGAAAAAGCAUCGGCUAACUCCGUGCCAGCAGCCGCGGUAAUACGGAGGAUGCGAGCGUUAUCCGGAUUUAUUGGGUUUAAAGGGUGCGUAGGCGGGCUUUUAAGUCAGCGGUAAAAAUUCGGGGCUCAACCCCGUCCGGCCGUUGAAACUG
This 305-nucleotide ribosomal RNA is filed under the name uncultured bacterium. Its description in RNAcentral is "bacterial SSU rRNA". It matches the Rfam family "Bacterial small subunit ribosomal RNA", at positions 333 to 635 of the family's 1533-position model. The record is from RNAcentral.